Molecule: long non-coding RNA, 3103 nt
Filed under: Lathyrus oleraceus (garden pea)
Lineage: Eukaryota; Viridiplantae; Streptophyta; Magnoliopsida; Fabales; Fabaceae
Description: Pisum sativum (pea) long non-coding RNA (PSAT_LNC034301)
Source: RNAcentral
GUAGUCCUCUUGUAUACCCGUGUCGGGGCUAGGUGGAGGACUGGAAGAGCUCGGGACAUUGUCGUGAUGGAAGUGUUGGGAUUGGUGGAAGUGGGGGGAUUGAUAUUGUGGUAGGUGUUGGGACUGUUGAUGGUGAUGGGAAUGUUGAGUUUGGUGUUGGUAGUCUUCAUGGUAUUGGGGUUGAGUUUGUGGUAUGUAUUGUUGAUUUGGUUGGGGGGUGGACAUGUGUUUUGGUGGUUGUUGUUGGUAAUAUGGUGGUGGUGGUUGUUGUUGGUAAUAAGGUGGUGGUGGUUGUUGUUGGUAAAAUGGUGGUGGUGGUUGUUGUUGGUAAUAAGAUGGUGGUUGUUGUUGUUGGGAAUAUUGUGGUGGUUGUUGUUGUUGGAAAUAUGGCUGUUGCAUCCGGGGAUCGUCCAAAUAGAACGGAUCAGACACAAUCAUUUCUGGAUUUGUAUUUGCUCUAUACCAAUCCACAUAUUCCCUUGUCGGCUUCAUUUCGUUGGGCGCCACCGAAAAUUGUAGAACAUAGUGGGCCCGGUCUUUCCACAUUUUACGAAACUCCUUAGCAAAUUCCUUCCAAUUUUGGGCAUACCACUGGUGGCUGACUUUUUUUAGAUGCCAAGGUUCCAUAGACAUUGGGCAUGAUCUUGAUGCAUUCCAAUUAGCCUUGAAUCCCCAUUCCCACCUUUGACAAGCCCACGUCACUGAACCAUUUAUGGCUUUCUGAUCAAAACAGCUCCGAUUAUUCCCGUGGUUUUGUUUUUCCCAAUCCCAAAUAAUGCCCCUCCCCAAAUAAUAAUCUGCUAAACAUAUACACAAAAGUAAAACCAUAUGUUAUUCCUAUACUUAUAAUAACGACACACUUCUAUAUAAUCAUACCAUAUGUUAAAGUUGAAGAAAUUAAGUCCUACACUUACAUCGCUCUUUCGAGGUAAACGAUACUCUCAUUCAAAAAACGAAUAAUACUUCAACAACAUUUUCAUAUAUUUUAAUGUACGACGGCCUAACAAAGAAAUCUCAUUCACCUUUUAACAACCCCACACAAAAAGCAUUAUAUAAGUCAGCAGUNNNNNNNNNNNNNNNNNNNNNNNNNAAAUUUUAAAUUAAAUUAAUUUAUUUACCCAAAUAAUUUGAUUUUUCUAUUCAUUAAAUGUGGUAUAUUGAAAAAUAGAACGUCCAAAUAUUAUUAACGUGAAAGUUAAUUUCAAAAUUAGUGUCUUUUAUUAGUAAUAUUUUUCUCAAGAAAAAGUAAAUAAUAAAUAGCUAUGAUUUUUGCACAUCAUCAUUCCUCUAUAUUAAACCUGCAUCAUUUUAUACAAGGUAACAAUCCCUCCUCUUAUUCUGAUUGUUAAUCAAAUUUGAUAAAAUACUGUAUGUUGAUCACCAUGGCAACUAGAAUCUCAAGCAUUGCCAUUUUAUGUAACAGUAAGUAAUCUGUAGUGUAGAAUUUCUUGGUCAAUACCAAACUGUAGGUGUUAUUUUUUGGGCAUUUUAACUAGCUUGGUAGAAGUUUGUCGAAAGAUGGACCAGCAACAUCCACCCAUUAGCAAGUUUAACGCUUGUUGUGCAGACAUUAAAAGUGCAAUCAUGUCUGUUAAUGCAAAUUUACUCUAUAUUGAAUAGAAUCAACUGGAAAAGCAUGUAUAUAGCCAACUUGUUCAAACGUAUACAAGCUUCCUCUAAAGAUAAACUGGGAAGUAAGUUAAUACUUAUUUUAUUAUCAAAUUCAAAUAAUUUUAUUAAGUUUUAUGAAAAUACGUAAUAUUAAUUUCGUUUUUCUUCGGGUUAUAUUGUCCUAUGCCUCCUCGUUUAAGCUUGAUCAUCGCGAAUUUUUUUUUGAAAUAUCCAACCAUUAAAAAAAAAUCUCAAAAAAUCACCAUUUUUCAAAAAAUUGACAUAAAUGGGCCAUUUUUGCCCUAAUAAUUCAAACCUAAGGGCACCCACCCUACUGUUGGCGCCUACACCUAAUGGGUAGGGCAAUCGCCACUAGGAAGUGGCGCCUACCCCAUUCCCCUUUUAUCUUUUUUUUUAAUAUGUUUUAUUUUUUAUUUUUUUUUAAUUUUUUUUAAUUAUAAAUUUAUAUUUCUUAUAAUUUAAUUAAUCCUAUAUUACACAUCAUAUAAUAAUUAUAUUACCAAGAUAUAUAUAUAUAUAAUACACUAUUAUUUAUAUACUCUAUAUCCUAAUUUACCAUAUGUAUACUAUUAAUUUAAUUUAAUACAAGUAAUCAUAUUUAUUUGUAAAUUUUUGAGAAAAAAAUUAAUUUAUACUACGUGUAAAUAAAUAUUUAUACACAUGUGAAUAAUAUAUAAUAUAUAUAUAUAUACUAUAUAUAUAUUAUAUCAAAACUUAUAUAUUAUAUAAUUAUAUAUAUCUAUCCCAUAUACAUAUAUAAAUAUAUAUAACCUAUAUUAUACUAUAUAUAUCCCUAUAUUCCCUCAUAUAAUAUACAUAGAUACUGAUAGACAAAUCUUUAAAGAUAAAAUAAAGAUACUAAAGAUAAUAAACAAAAAAUAUUUUUAUUUAAUAAUAGAACAAGACAAAUAUUAAAAGGAUACUGAUUAAAAUGCAUUACUCUAAUUUGUUGAUUUAUCACUAUCGAUCGCGGUCUGUAGCGAUCCGCACGGGGAAGGUCAUUACUCGCCCUAGACGGCUUCACGUGUGGUGCGUGGUGCUUCCCCUAUUACCACCCCCCCCUUAGCUUCCUUUUCAUAUGCUAAUCGCUCCCUGCCGUUUGCCGUUAGUCGUUGGGCUCCGAAGUACCUUCAGUGCUGUUAGGAAAGAGGCCCCUCAUGCGCCCUCACAGCUUUGUCCCGGUGCGGACAAACGACUACUCUCCGGUGGCCCCCCCGAAAUGUGUUUUGGUAGUUUUAGGGUUGAAUCGGUGUGCAAAGAACAAUGCUUUGUUGUGGGUGUGUGUAGUCUUGUUGUAGUCCUCCCCUUGUUAUACCUCGUCGGGGCUAGGUGGGGACUGGAAAAGCUCGGACAUGCAUCUGAUGGAAGUGUUGGGAUUGGUGAGAGUGGGGGGAUUGAUAUUGUGGUAGGUGGUUGGAACUGUUGAUGGGAUGGGAAUGUUGAGUUUGUUGGUAGUCUUCAUGGUAUUGGG